RNAcentral lists this ribosomal RNA (375 nucleotides) under Bacteroides ovatus. Its description in RNAcentral is "bacterial SSU rRNA". It matches the Rfam family "Bacterial small subunit ribosomal RNA", at positions 1 to 366 of the family's 1533-position model. The record is from RNAcentral. Lineage: Bacteria; Pseudomonadati; Bacteroidota; Bacteroidia; Bacteroidales; Bacteroidaceae.
ACAAUGAAGAGUUUGAUCCUGGCUCAGGAUGAACGCUAGCUACAGGCUUAACACAUGCAAGUCGAGGGGCAGCAUUUUAGUUUGCUUGCAAACUGAAGAUGGCGACCGGCGCACGGGUGAGUAACACGUAUCCAACCUGCCGAUAACUCCGGAAUAGCCUUUCGAAAGAAAGAUUAAUACCGGAUAGCAUACGAAUAUCGCAUGAUAUUUUUAUUAAAGAAUUUCGGUUAUCGAUGGGGAUGCGUUCCAUUAGUUUGUUGGCGGGGUAACGGCCCACCAAGACUACGAUGGAUAGGGGUUCUGAGAGGAAGGUCCCCCACAUUGGAACUGAGACACGGUCCAAACUCCUACGGGAGGCAGCAGUGAGGAAUAUUG